UACGUAGGGUGCGAGCGUUGUCCGGAAUUAUUGGGCGUAAAGAGCUUGUAGGCGGUUUGUCGCGUCUGCUGUGAAAUCUCAAGGCUCAACCUUGAGCUUGCGGUGGGUACGGGCAGACUAGAGUGUGGUAGGGGAGACUGGAAUUCCUGGUGUAGCGGUGAAAUGCGCAGAUAUCAGGAGGAACACCGAUGGCGAAGGCAGGUCUCUGGGCCACUACUGACGCUGAGAAGCGAAAGCAUGGGGAGCGAACAGG
RNAcentral lists this ribosomal RNA (253 nucleotides) under uncultured bacterium. Its description in RNAcentral is "partial 16S ribosomal RNA". It matches the Rfam family "Bacterial small subunit ribosomal RNA", at positions 524 to 776 of the family's 1533-position model. The record is from RNAcentral.